RNAcentral lists this transfer RNA (65 nucleotides) under Diploptera punctata (Pacific beetle cockroach). RNAcentral describes it as "tRNA-Asn". The record is from RNAcentral. Lineage: Eukaryota; Metazoa; Arthropoda; Insecta; Blattodea; Blaberidae.
UUGGUUGAAACCAAAAUAGAGGUAUAUUACUGUUAAUAAUAUAAUUGAAUAUAAUUCCAACCAAG